GAUGAACGCUAGCGGCGGGCUUAAUACAUGCAAGUCGUGGGGCAGCAGGACUGUAGCAAUACAGUUGCUGGCGACCGGCAAACGGGUGCGGAACACGUACGCAACUUACCCUGAACUGGGGGAUAGCCCGGGGAAACCCGGAUUAAUACCCCGUAAUAUAAUGGAGUGGCAUCACUUUAUUAUUAAAGCUCCGGCGGUUCGGGAUGGGCGUGCGGCUGAUUAGGGAGUUGGUUGAGGUAACGGCUCACCAAGCCUACGAUCAGUAACUGGUGUGAGAGCACCACCCAUGACACGGGCACAGGGGCAGCGGCCCGGCUACUGCGGGACGGAGCAGUAAGGGACGUUAGGCAAUGGUGGGCAAUCUUGCCCAACCAUGCCAGGUGGGAGAUGGCAGCCCUCUGGGUUGUAAACUUCUUUUAGAGGGGGAGAAACCUGUUUAUUCUUACGCAAUUGACGGUACCCUAAGAAUAAGCACCGGCUAACUCCGUG
RNAcentral lists this ribosomal RNA (489 nucleotides) under uncultured bacterium. RNAcentral describes it as "partial 16S ribosomal RNA". It matches the Rfam family "Bacterial small subunit ribosomal RNA", at positions 28 to 507 of the family's 1533-position model. The record is from RNAcentral.